Molecule: long non-coding RNA, 257 nt
Filed under: Gossypium barbadense (sea-island cotton)
Lineage: Eukaryota; Viridiplantae; Streptophyta; Magnoliopsida; Malvales; Malvaceae
Description: long non-coding RNA (GBAR_LNC010579)
Source: RNAcentral
UGACAAACAACCGUUGUGCGCUUCAUGUAAAAUAUUUCGAAUCAAUUCGGUGUCCUUUCGAACACAAAUCCUACCACGAAAUCUCAAACAACCAACGGAGUCACUUAUAAAAUCCAAUUCAUUGCUGGACUCACACUGAAUUCUCUUAGCUUGUAACUCUUUAUCAACUUUCUGAGCAUCACAAAUCUGUUGAAGAUAAGUCGGUCUAGCUCUCAACUUGGCUAGAAUUGGACCAUCAUUGGACCAUGUCAGCCGUG